This 288-nucleotide long non-coding RNA is filed under the name Physcomitrium patens. RNAcentral's name for it is "long non-coding RNA (PPAT_LNC004640)". The record is from RNAcentral. Lineage: Eukaryota; Viridiplantae; Streptophyta; Bryopsida; Funariales; Funariaceae.
UUUAUACCAUUUGUAUUAAUAUUGAGAGUUUAAAAAAAAUCAAAAUUACUAAUAUUUUCAAUAGAUUUAGAUUUUAAGAAAUAAAAAAUAUGCUUAUAAAUUUGAGGAUUUCUUGAGUUUUGUGGCAUAUGUAUAUUUAUGCAAAUUUAAGAGAUAAAAAUAUGAAAAUUUAUAAAAAUUUAUGAAAUGGAAAUAUGAUAAUAAAUUAAAUGAAAUUUAGGCAAGUCAUUUUUGUGCUUAAUGUUAAUGAAUGUACAAAAUUUGAAAUCAAUGAAGUAGUUAUAUUGA